RNAcentral lists this ribosomal RNA (253 nucleotides) under uncultured bacterium. Its description in RNAcentral is "partial 16S ribosomal RNA". It matches the Rfam family "Bacterial small subunit ribosomal RNA", at positions 524 to 776 of the family's 1533-position model. The record is from RNAcentral.
UACGUAGGGGGCGAGCGUUGUCCGGAUUUAUUGGGCGUAAAGAGCGUGUAGGCGGUUCGGUAAGUCUGUCGUGAAAUCCUGAGGCUCAACCUCGGACGUGCGAUGGAUACUGCCGGGCUAGAGGAUGGUAGAGGCGAGUGGAAUUCCCGGUGUAGCGGUGAAAUGCGCAGAUAUCGGGAGGAACACCAGUGGCGAAGGCGGCUCACUGGCCCGAUACUGACGCUGAGGCACGAAAGCGUGGGGAGCAAACAGG